UGCAGUCAAAACACAAUAUAAAAUUAUAAAUCUUAAAACAAAAAACCCUACUAUUCUCAUCAAAAUUAUUUGACCUAAGCCUAGCACACCAGGCCCUGGAUCCAACUGCUUAUGAGCAAAACACAGCAGCAGCACGUGGGGAGUGAGCCCACAGGGGAAGAAGUGCCGUAGAGAUGGCUGUCCAGGAAUUGGGCAGAGGCUUUACCAGACAAAAGCCAACAAGGAGGUUCUGCUUGGGACUUUCAGUGAGGGGACAGCCAUCCCCGCAGCCUGUCACAGAUGGAUAUGGAAAACCUCUGCCGUAUGCUAGUAUGCUCAAGCUGCUGUGACAUCCUGACUGAUCACAUGGGCCAAGCAUCACAAUACUGAAACUAAGCAAAAUAAAUCAAGUUGUUCUCAGGUACUCAGGACACAGCUGUGCCGGCGCCUUUGGCCUUUGCACCUACAUUAUUCUCUGGUUUCCAGGCUCCGUCUCAGGAACACUUUCACUGGCUACAGUAAAGACAGUUUCUGCAGCUGUGUCAGCCGCACAGUGCUGACUGACCACUCAAGCAUGCUUGCUGUCAGUCUACUUGGGCUGUUGGGGUAGAAUACUGAACCAGGGGUUUUACAGAGAGUGCAAAUGUAUUCCUCACAGCCUGGAAGCCCAGAAGUUAAAGGUCAAGGUUUUGUACUGUGAGGGCCCUCCUGCUGAAUUUUCAUGGGGCAAGAGACCACAGUACAAAAGUUGCCUCAGCAAGGGCACUACCUUUGUAUCUAUCCUAAGCACUUAAAACUUCCUCCUGGUACUCUUACUUGGAACCUCCGGUUUUUAGAGGGGCCACACUGAACCGCAGUAAAUGUCUUGGCCUCAGAUGA
Onychomys torridus (southern grasshopper mouse) is the source of this 858-nucleotide long non-coding RNA. RefSeq lists it as uncharacterized. The record is from RefSeq and is a predicted model, not a curated record. Lineage: Eukaryota; Metazoa; Chordata; Mammalia; Rodentia; Cricetidae. The transcript is spliced from 2 exons.